This 400-nucleotide ribosomal RNA is filed under the name uncultured Eubacteriales bacterium. RNAcentral's name for it is "bacterial SSU rRNA". It matches the Rfam family "Bacterial small subunit ribosomal RNA", at positions 356 to 774 of the family's 1533-position model. The record is from RNAcentral. Lineage: Bacteria; Bacillati; Bacillota; Clostridia; Eubacteriales.
GGGGAAUAUUGCACAAUGGAGGGAACUCUGAUGCAGCGACGCCGCGUGAGUGAUGAAGGCUUUCGAGUCGUAAAACUCUGUCCUUGGGGACGAUAAUGACGGUACCCAAGGAGGAAGCCCCGGCUAACUCCGUGCCAGCAGCCGCGGUAAUACGUAGGGGGCGAGCGUUGUCCGGAAUUAUUGGGCGUAAAGGGUUCGCAGGCGGCCGAUUAAGUCAGAUGUGAAAUCCCACGGCUUAACCGUGGUAAGCAUUUGAAACUGAUUGGCUUGAGUGCAUCAGAGGAGAGCGGAAUUCCUAGUGUAGCGGUGACAUGCGUAGAUAUUAGGAGGAACACCCGUGGCGAAGGCGGCUCUCUGGGGUGCAACUGACGCUGAGGCGCGAAAGCUGGGGGAGCGAACG